RNAcentral lists this ribosomal RNA (292 nucleotides) under uncultured bacterium. Its description in RNAcentral is "partial 16S ribosomal RNA". The record is from RNAcentral.
GGACUACUCGGGUUUCUAAUCCUGUUUGCUCCCCACGCUUUCGUGCAUGAGCGUCAGUGCAGGCCCAGGGGAUUGCCUUCGCCAUCGGUGUUCCUUGUCAUAUCUACGCAUUUCACUGCUACACGACAAAUUCCAUCCCCCUCUGCCGCACUCGAGCUUUGCAGUCACAAAGGCCAUUCCCAGGUUGAGCCCGGGGAUUUCACCUCUGUCUUACAAAACCGCCUGCGCACGCUUUACGCCCAGUAAUUCCGAUUAACGCUCGCACCCUACGUAUUACCGCGGCUGCUGGCAC